CCAGUCAGUGGUUGUACUGGUGUAAGAGUGUAGGCCGUGACAUAGGCAAAUCCGUGUCACAUCAAGGCUGAGACUUGAUGCAUACCCGUUGUGGGGAAUUCAGUGAUCCUAUGCUGCCGAGAAAAGCCUCUAGUGAGUUCAUACACGGCCCGUACCCCAAACCGACACAGGUGAUCAGGUAGAGAAUACCAAGGCGAUCGAGAGAACUGUGGUUAAGGAACUCGGCAAAAUGCCCCCGUAACUUCGGGAGAAGGGGGACCACGCCCGGUGACGAUCCUUGCGAUCUGAGCUGGGGGUGGUCGCAGAGACCAGAGAGAAGCGACUGUUUACUAAAAACACAGGUCCGUGCGAAGACGUAAGUCGAUGUAUACGGACUGACGCCUGCCCGGUGCUGGAAGGUUAAGAGGACCGGUUAGCCGCAAGGCGAAGCUGAGAAUUUAAGCCCCAGUAAACGGCGGUGGUAACUAUAACCAUCCUAAGGUAGCGAAAUUCCUUGUCGGGUAAGUUCCGACCUGCACGAAUGGCGUAACGACUUCUCUGCUGUCUCGACCACAGACUCGGCGAAAUUGCACUACGAGUAAAGAUGCUCGUUACGCGCGGCAGGACGAAAAGACCCCGGGACCUUUACUAUAGCUUGGUAUUGGCGUUCGAUUCGGUUUGUGUAGGAUAGGUGGGAGACUGUGAAGCAUGCACGCCAGUGUGUGUGGAGUCGUUGUUGAAAUACCACUCUGAUCGUAUUGGACGUCUAACCUCGGCCCAUGAUCUGGGUUAGGGACAGUGCCUGGUGGGUAGUUUAACUGGGGCGGUUGCCUCCUAAAGAGUAACGGAGGCGCCCAAAGGUUCCCUCAGCCUGGAUGGCAAUCAGGUGUUGAGUGCAAGUGCACAAGGGAGCUUGACUGUGAGACUGACACGUCGAGCAGGGACGAAAGUCGGGACUAGUGAUCCGGCACCGGCAAGUGGAAGCGGUGUCGCUCAACGGAUAAAAGGUACCCCGGGGAUAACAGGCUGAUCUUCCCCAAGAGUCCAUAUCGACGGGAUGGUUUGGCACCUCGAUGUCGGCUCGUCGCAUCCUGGGGCUGGAGUAGGUCCCAAGGGUUGGGCUGUUCGCCCAUUAAAGCGGCACGCGAGCUGGGUUUAGAACGUCGUGAGACAGUUCGGUCUCUAUCCGCCGCGCGCGUAAGAAACUUGAGGAAGGCUGUCCCUAGUACGAGAGGACCGGGACGGACGAACCUCUGGUGUGCCAGUUGUUCCACCAGGAGCAUCGCUGGUUAGCUACGUUCGGAAGGGAUAACCGCUGAAAGCAUCUAAGCGGGAAGCCUGUUCCAAGAUGAGGUUUCUCACCACCUUCGCGUGGUUAAGGCCCCCCACAGACCAUGGGGUUGAUAGGCCGGAACUGGAAGCGCAGCAAUGCGUGCAGGUGACCGGUACUAAUCGGCCGAGGGCUUACA
RNAcentral lists this ribosomal RNA (1448 nucleotides) under Dietzia maris. Its description in RNAcentral is "partial 23S ribosomal RNA". It matches the Rfam family "Bacterial large subunit ribosomal RNA", at positions 1491 to 2925 of the family's 2925-position model. Lineage: Bacteria; Bacillati; Actinomycetota; Actinomycetes; Mycobacteriales; Dietziaceae. The record is from RNAcentral.